CCUACGGGAGGCAGCAGUGGGGGAUAUUGCACAAUGGGGGAAACCCUGAUGCAGCGACGCCGCGUGAGUGAAGAAGUAUUUCGGUAUGUAAAGCUCUAUCAGCAGGGAAGAAAAUGACAGUACCUGACCAAGAAGCCCCGGCUAACUACGUGCCAGCAGCCGCGGUAAUACGUAGGGGGCAAGCGUUAUCCGGAUUUACUGGGUGUAAAGGGAGCGUAGACGGUUAUGUAAGUCUGGAGUGAAAGCCCGGGGCCCAACCCCGGGACUGCUUUGGAAACUGUGUAACUGGAGUACAGGGGGGGCAGGCGGAAUUCCUGGUGGAGGGGUGAAAAGGGUAGAUAUCAGGAGGAA
This 351-nucleotide ribosomal RNA is filed under the name uncultured bacterium. Its description in RNAcentral is "partial 16S ribosomal RNA". It matches the Rfam family "Bacterial small subunit ribosomal RNA", at positions 338 to 706 of the family's 1533-position model. The record is from RNAcentral.